CCUACGGGCGGCUGCAGUGAGGAAUAUUGCGCAAUGGCCGAAAGGCUGACGCAGCGACGCCGCGUGAAGGAUGAAGUCCGUUAGGAUGUAAACUUCUUUUGCGAGGGAUGAAUGUUCCGCCUUGUGCGGACUUGACCGUACCUCGCGAAUAAGGGUCGGCCAACUACGUGCCAGCAGCCGCGGUAAUACGUAGGACCCGAGCGUUGUCCGGAAUUACUGGGUGUAAAGGGCGUGUAGGUGGAUCUCUCAGUCGGUGGUGAAAUCCUGCGGCUUAACCGCAGAACUGCCUCCGAUACUGGAGAUCUUGAGUACGGCAGAGGGAGAUGGAAUUCAUGGUGUAGCGGUGAAAUGUGUAGAUAUCAUGAAGAACACCAGUUGCGAAGGCGGUCUCCUGGUCCGUUACUGACACUGAGGCGCGAAAGCGUGGGGAGCAAACAGGAUUAGAUACCCUGGUAGUC
This 458-nucleotide ribosomal RNA is filed under the name uncultured bacterium. RNAcentral describes it as "bacterial SSU rRNA". It matches the Rfam family "Bacterial small subunit ribosomal RNA", at positions 338 to 795 of the family's 1533-position model. The record is from RNAcentral.